UACAGAGGGUGCGAGCGUUAAUCGGAAUUACUGGGCGUAAAGCGUGCGUAGACGGUUAUGUAAGUCGGGUGUGAAAGCCCCGGGCUCAACCUGGGAAUUGCAUUCGAGACUGCAUAGCUAGGGUGCGGAAGAGGGAAGCGGAAUUUCCGGUGUAGCGGUGAAAUGCGUAGAUAUCGGAAGGAACACCAGUGGCGAAAAGCGGCUUCCUGGUCCAGCACCGACGUUCAGGCACGAAAGCGUGGGGAGCAAACAGG
This 254-nucleotide ribosomal RNA is filed under the name uncultured bacterium. RNAcentral describes it as "partial 16S ribosomal RNA". It matches the Rfam family "Bacterial small subunit ribosomal RNA", at positions 524 to 776 of the family's 1533-position model. The record is from RNAcentral.